This 857-nucleotide ribosomal RNA is filed under the name uncultured bacterium. RNAcentral describes it as "SSU rRNA". It matches the Rfam family "Bacterial small subunit ribosomal RNA", at positions 524 to 1381 of the family's 1533-position model. The record is from RNAcentral.
UACGGGAGUGGCAAGCGUUAUCCGGAAUUAUUGGGCGUAAAGCGUCCGCAGGCGGUUUUACAAGUCUGUCGUUAAAGCGUGGAGCUUAACUCCAUUUCAGCGAUGGAAACUGUAAGACUAGAGUGUGGUAGGGGCAGAGGGAAUUCCCGGUGUAGCGGUGAAAUGCGUAGAUAUCGGGAAGAACACCAGUGGCGAAGGCGCUCUGCUGGGCCAUAACUGACGCUCAUGGACGAAAGCCAGGGGAGCGAAAGGGAUUAGAUACCCCUGUAGUCCUGGCCGUAAACGAUGAACACUAGGUGUCGGGGGAAUCGACCCCCUCGGUGUCGUAGCCAACGCGUUAAGUGUUCCGCCUGGGGAGUACGCACGCAAGUGCGAAACUCAAAGGAAUUGACGGGGGCCCGCACAAGCGGUGGAGUAUGUGGUUUAAUUCGAUGCAACGCGAAGAACCUUACCAGGGUUUGACAUCCUGCGAAUCCCUUGGAAACGAGGGAGUGCCUUCGGGAACGCAGUGACAGGUGGUGCAUGGCUGUCGUCAGCUCGUGUCGUGAGAUGUUGGGUUAAGUCCCGCAACGAGCGCAACCCACGUCUUUAGUUGCCAGCAUUUAGUUGGGCACUCUAGAGAGACUGCCGGUGAUAAACCGGAGGAAGGUGUGGAUGACGUCAAGUCAUCAUGCCCCUUACAUCCUGGGCUACACACGUACUACAAUGCUACGGACAAAGGGCAGCAAACUCGCGAGAGCUAGCCAAUCCCAUAAACCGUGGCUCAGUUCAGAUCGUAGGCUGCAACUCGCCUACGUGAAGGAGGAAUCGCUAGUAAUCGCAGGUCAGCAUACUGCGGUGAAUACGUUCCCGGGCCU